Chelonoidis abingdonii (Abingdon island giant tortoise) is the source of this 423-nucleotide long non-coding RNA. RefSeq lists it as uncharacterized. Lineage: Eukaryota; Metazoa; Chordata; Testudines; Testudinidae. The record is from RefSeq and is a predicted model, not a curated record.
CAAAAGUCUCAUUGACUUUGAGAGGAAUUUUACUCAAGUAAGGACUGCAGGAAUUGUGCCACAACACCGCAAUAUAGACUAAUUAAGUGUCAUAGGCAGUACAAAUGAAGCAGCAGCAAUUGAUUAUACAUCACUGACAGCAUAAAACAGAACAAACAGACAGUUCCUUCCAUGAAAAGCCCAGGGUGAAGAUUCCAAUCUAUUCCAACUGAUCUUUAUUCAGAAAGAAUAAAGGGUGGAAUAGGCUGACAACUUUAUUUGGCUAAUGAUUAAUAUCUUUGCUUUGUUCUGGCCUGAAGGAUAACCACAAACUAUUAGACAAGAGUGUGAUGAAAUAUGGUUUGCAAGCAGUUUUAAGUCAGUCUUGAAAAUGCAAGGUACUAAAUCCAUGAGGCUAUGUCAAAACCAGAUCACUGUGUUGCA